GAUGAACGCUGGCGGCGUGCCUAAUACAUGCGAGUCGAGCGAACAGACGAGGAGCUUGCUCCUCUGACGUUAGCGGCGGACGGGUGAGUAACACGUGGAUAACCUACCUAUAAGACUGGGAUAACUUCGGGAAACCGGAGCUAAUACCGGAUAAUAUAUUGAACCGCAUGGUUCAAUAGUGAAAGACGGUUUUGCUGUCACUUAUAGAUGGAUCAGCGCCGCAUUAGCUAGUUGGUAAGGUAACGGCUUACCAAGGCAACGAUGCGUAGCCGACCUGAGAGGGUGAUCGGCCACACUGGAACUGAGACACGGUCCAGACUCCUACGGGAGGCAGCAGUAGGGAAUCUUCCGCAAUGGGCGAAAGCCUGACGGAGCAACGCCGCGUGAGUGAUGAAGGUCUUCGGAUCGUAAAACUCUGUUAUUAGGGAAGAACAAAUGUGUAAGUAACUAUGCACGUCUUGACGGUACCUAAUCAGAAAGCCACGGCUAACUACGUG
This 497-nucleotide ribosomal RNA is filed under the name uncultured bacterium. RNAcentral's name for it is "partial 16S ribosomal RNA". It matches the Rfam family "Bacterial small subunit ribosomal RNA", at positions 28 to 507 of the family's 1533-position model. The record is from RNAcentral.